CGUUUCUUAUUAAAAAUAAAAAAAAUAAAAUAAAAGUUGCUGAAAGCCUGAAGCAUGAAAGGAGCCCAAGCCUCCAACCGUUCAUUCACUCCAUCGUGACAUCGUCCAACCCCUGUUUCCUUCCCAAAGGCCAUGAGAGACCACCAUGAGAGCUGAGAGCUGAGAGCUGAGAAUCUGCCACCUCGUCGCCAGCGGAGACCCGUUCAGCUUCAGCCACAGUAGUGCGGAGAUAGCGCGGCACUCACCAUCGCAACCACAGUAGUGCGCCACUCACCACCGCCAAGAAGCACAUCCACGGUCCAGCGAAGAUUCAACAUUCAAGUCGCCUCCCCGUCGCCUACUGCCUCCUAGUCGUGAGUCAUCAGUCGCCACCUCCGGUCUCCCUCUUCUCUGCUCGUCCCUCCAUCCCUCCAGGGUCCAGGAGCUGGUAAAUUCUACAAUUGAUAAGGCUAGAACUCUGCUUGAUGAUGGUAACAAGGAGAAGAAAGAAACCGAUGUGCUUGUGGAGUAUCUUACUGAAGCUAAGCUUGUUUUUGAGCCCAUUAUAGCUAAGAUUGGUUAGUUUUGUUUAGAUCUUUCCUUUGUUGAACUUUUAAUUUUGCUUGUGAUGCAAAUCUUUGUGACAGAAAUUAUCUAAAGGAGAUUGGUCAUUGAGAGUUGACAUUUGAAUUUUGUGGACAGAUCUUGUGAACUUUGAAUGUGUUGCAGAUUUGAUACUGUGGAGACAGAAGAAUAUUAGUGUAGAAAUAUUAUUAGUCAGAGAAUAGGAGGAAGGGUAUUGGGAAUAUUGUUACUUAGUGUGGGAAUAUUGUUACUUAUGUGGGACCGGGUUAACCGGUUUAACCAGUGACCCAGUAGUCUGAUCGGUUCGAUCACCGGUUCGGUUCUGACAACUAUGAUAGGGAGGGAAGGAGGGCUGCGCGAACGCUGCAGAGAGAAAAGAUAAUUAGGGUUCGAAACCUUUCCUUCUUUCUUUUUUUUUUAAUUUUAAAAAUAGGGAUCGCG
This is a long non-coding RNA of Arachis duranensis, 1005 nucleotides long. RefSeq lists it as uncharacterized. Lineage: Eukaryota; Viridiplantae; Streptophyta; Magnoliopsida; Fabales; Fabaceae. The transcript has 3 exons. The record is from RefSeq and is a predicted model, not a curated record.